Molecule: long non-coding RNA, 1912 nt
Organism: Oreochromis niloticus (Nile tilapia)
Lineage: Eukaryota; Metazoa; Chordata; Actinopteri; Cichliformes; Cichlidae
Exons: 3
Source: RefSeq, a predicted model, not a curated record
GUUUGACAUGCAUCUCUUUUCCCUCAGCCAGAACACUGAAGAUGGGUGGGUCUUCCAGCAUGACAGUGACCCAAAACAUACCACUAAGGCAACAAAGGUUUCCACAUUUCCUCUGCUGAUGAACUUGACACAUUGGCGGUAACAGCUUACAAUUCGUGUUUGGCUCAAUUUAAAAGCCAUGGACAUGAUGGCCAUGCCGACAAUGAUGAACAGCGAGCUUGCAACUUGGGACUCCACUCGUGGCUUGAAUGGCAGCCUAAAGGAGAAUCGGAUAGAAAGUGGUAUGCAUGGAGUAGCACUCAAGAUUGUAACAUUACUGGUAAGUUGUGGGAGUACAGUGAAUCUAUUAACACUUGAACUGUGUAGGCAAAUAUCUGAGAAAGAAACAAACGCCAAAAUAUAAGCAAACACAUUUGUUAGUUUUUUCUUUUUACCCACAAAUUAAGCAUCAGUGUUUCUGUAGGAUGCACACUAGAACUGUUUUGCUGCAUUUUUUUUCAGAUAUUCAUACAUUAACCCUAGAUAUUUUUAACACUACUUGAGGUUUCCAUCAUAAAGUUUGCUGUUGAUGAUUAUCUGCAAUUUGUGUGGAUUUUAUUAUUUUUUUUGCAAUAAAUAUUUUCAUUUCCAGGUUAGAUCUUAAUCAAAUGUCUCGUGCGCACAGCAUGAAGCAACAACUUUGUGUAUGUCACACAGUGGAAAUUUGUAUUUAUCUUGUAUAUUGUUUUUAUUCUGAUUUUUAGUGUUUAUUUAUGAGUGUCAUUUUAUUUGCAUGGUUUUAUUCUAUUUCUAUUGCAUGGUUUUUAGUGUUUUAUGUGACAUGGUUUGUAUCCACUGUGGACUGGCUGCACAUGGGACAAAUUAGCUGAUGGGGACCACCUGCUGAGGCAUGGGUGUGUCCAGAGGUGGCCUAUCAGCUGUGUAAAGACCUUUUAAAAGCAGGGCUAGCAGAGCGCUGAAGAGGGAAGGCCCAGAGUGGAAGAGGAAUGCUAGAUGGCCAGCGUGACACGACGGCCCAGUUGGACAGUGUGAAGGGCGACAGUGGGAGACGCUGCCUGUUAUCGACCGCCAGACAGAGGUGUACCUCUGCCGGCAUAUGUGAGUAACGCUUUUCCCACUGUCGUAUGCUGGGUGCAGCGGAGCUGGGAAAGGGUUGCCAUGGCUAUGAGCCAGGGUCUCUUCUGGGACGUGUUUUCUGGCCCCUAUUUGUGUGUUUGCAGGUUGCUGACACGAGGGGAUCCAUGGUGGCAUUGCAUGGAGGAUUCCAGUGUGAAAUGGAAGCCGGGCUGGGAUGUGGGCGGCCCAGUGAGCGGACAAGAGGGGAAUAGGAGGCUCCUCCCCGUCGGCCUAAUACAGGGCUAGCAUGGAACCAACCCAUGCAAAGGGGUUUCUGGCCCGCUGGUGGACCCAUAAUGCAUCCAUGGUUGUGGGACAUGACAUCAGGGAAUUUUAGUAAAUGUAGAAAAUUGUAUUUUUACUAGUUUUAGCUGUCAAUAACAUUUUUCCCAUGUAUGUUCUCAAGGAUGUUUUUAUUUGUGAUCCCUGGCCUAGAAAUAAACUGUUUCUGAUGAGACCUGCUGCAUCUCUGUGCCCUGGGUAUCUGACUCCCCUGCUCCCCCUUGUAUUUUAAAGAAUCUUUCUUUUUAGCGUAAAAAGUCCGCCCGUGUCACAUGUACAUGAUACACAAUACUGCAUAUUUCUUUAAAGCUUGAAUUUCAACAUAAACUAAAUACAACAGAACAAACAGAUGAGUGAAACUUGAUCCCUCAGCUAGUAAAGUCAUGUCUUAAGCAUGCUGCAAAAUACAUCUUUGUGAUAUUUUAACUGAACCUCUGCAAUCACGUAUAUAAAUACUCUCUACUUGAGAGUAUUUAUAUAUUUUUGCAUUUAAAAAGUUUUCUUUAAAAAAACA